UCGAACGGUAACAUAGCUAGCUUGCUAGCUGAUGACGAGUGGCGGACGGGUGAGUAACGCGUAGGAAUCUACCUAUUAGUGGGGGACAACCUGGUGAAAACCAGGCUAAUACCGCAUACGCCCUACGGGGGAAAGCAGGGGAUCUUCGGACCUUGCGCUAUUAGAUGAGCCUGCGUUAGAUUAGCUUGUUGGUGAGGUAAUGGCUCACCAAGGCGACGAUCUAUAGCUGGUCUGAGAGGAUGAUCAGCCACACUGGGACUGAGACACGGCCCAGACUCCUACGGGAGGCAGCAGUGGGGAAUAUUGCGCAAUGGGCGAAAGCCUGACGCAGCCAUACCGCGUGUGUGAAGAAGGGUUUAGGCUCGUAAAGCACUUUAAGUAGGGAGGAAGGCCUGUAAAUUAAUACUUUGCAGGAUUGACGUUACCUACAGAAUAAGCACCGGCUAACUCCGUGCCAGCAGCCGCGGUAAUACGGAGGGUGCAAGCGUUAAUCGGAAUUACUGGGCGUAAAGCGCGCGUAGGCGGUUUGUUAAGCGAGAUGUGAAAGCCCAGGGCUCAACCUUGGAACUGCAUUUCGAACUGGCAGGCUAGAGUACAAGAGAGGGUGGUAGAAUUUCCUGUGUAGCGGUGAAAUGCGUAGAUAUAGGAAGGAAUACCAGUGGCGAAGGCGGCCACCUGGCUUGAUACUGACGCUGAGGUGCGAAAGCGUGGGGAGCGAACAGGAUUAGAUACCCUGGUAGUCCACGCCGUAANCGAUGUCAACUAGCCGUUGGAGUCCUUGAGG
Molecule: ribosomal RNA, 784 nt
Filed under: uncultured Gammaproteobacteria bacterium
Lineage: Bacteria; Pseudomonadati; Pseudomonadota; Gammaproteobacteria
Description: bacterial SSU rRNA
Rfam family: Bacterial small subunit ribosomal RNA
Source: RNAcentral